Molecule: ribosomal RNA, 459 nt
Filed under: uncultured bacterium
Lineage: Bacteria
Description: partial 16S ribosomal RNA
Rfam family: Bacterial small subunit ribosomal RNA
Source: RNAcentral
CCUACGUGAGGCAGCAGUGAGGAAUAUUGGUCAAUGGACGGAAGUCUGAACCAGCCAUGCCGCGUGCAGGAAGACGGCUCUCUGAGUUGUAAACUGCUUUUGUACGAGGGUAAACCUGACUACGUGUAUUCAGCUGAAAGUACUGUACGACUAAGGAUCGGCUAACUCCGUGCCAGCAGCCGCGGUAAUACGGGGGAUCCAAGCGUUAUCCGGAUUUAUUGGGUUUAAAGGGGGCGUAGGCGGAUUGCUAAGUCAGUGGUCAAAUUGCGGGGCUCAACCCCUACCCGCCAUUGAAACUGGCGUUCUUGAGUGGAAGAGAAGUAUGCGGAAUGCGUGGUGUAGCGGUGAAAUGCAUAGAUAUCACGCAGAACCCCGAUUGCGAAGGCAGCAUGCCGGCUUCCGACUGACGCUGGAGCACGAAAGCGUGGGGAUCGAACAGGAUUAGAUACCCUUGUAGUC